AACGAACGCUGGCGGCAUGCCUAAUACAUGCAAGUCGAACGAGACCUUCGGGUCUAGUGGCGCACGGGUGCGUAACGCGUGGGAAUCUGCCCUUGGGUUCGGAAUAACAGUUGGAAACGACUGCUAAUACCGGAUGAUGACGAAAGUCCAAAGAUUUAUCGCCCAGGGAUGAGCCCGCGUAGGAUUAGCUAGUUGGUAGA
RNAcentral lists this ribosomal RNA (200 nucleotides) under uncultured bacterium. Its description in RNAcentral is "partial 16S ribosomal RNA". It matches the Rfam family "Bacterial small subunit ribosomal RNA", at positions 29 to 256 of the family's 1533-position model. The record is from RNAcentral.